UAAGCUAUAUGAUGUGUGUUACUGAGUUGGGUCACACACAGUUAGAGAGACAAUGGUCGUUCUGAAUUAUCAAUAGAUGUAUUCAUUUUAAGUGAGCUGACACCGAGGUUAGAGGGAGUUCAGAGAAGGCCUCAGGUUAUAAAAAAAGUUAACCUUUGUUAGUCAACUAAUCCUAAGGAUGUCAUGAGAUGAUGACGUUUAAACAUAUACAAGUAUAGCUUUCAGAGAGAAAAACACGUGACAUUUGUGUGGUAGGCUGCAUGAUAAAAUGUGUGUGCAUUAAACAUGCUUAGGGAAAAUGUGUGUGUGUUCAUUACAGUGGCUAUAUAUGCUGUAUGAUUACUGCUACUGUUGGGGGGCAUUUCCACGAUUGGCUGCUGUGGCAGUAGGUAAAGGAGCCAUGGCAGAGGUAUCCACUAUUGUCAGUGUUGUUAAACAAUAUCUUCCGAUACCAGAUGAGUCAUCUCAGAAAACAUCCACGUAACAUCUUAUUGUAAAAUGAGGGUUGCACUAUACAAGACAAAUAUCAAAUAAUCCUGUUGGCUUGUCUUGAACACAGACAUGAUAAACUGCUUUCAUCUAUUUGACCUCUUCUAGUUGGGAAUGUGUGGUUUUGUACUUACCUUCACUGACCACUACCUGAGUUUUGUUGCAUGGCAGGAACAUGUAAAUGUUCUUAAACCCCUUAACACACAAACACUUAAACACAUAUAAGUACAACUAUUUGUUAUUAUCUUCCAUUACUCAGCAAGUGCAACCUUUGCAGCAUGAUGAGCCAGAGUAGCAAGAAAGACUUGUGUGGGAGUGUGAUUUUACCAAUGGCUAUUAAAACGAUUUAUUGCAGUUUGUUUUUA
This is a long non-coding RNA of Notothenia coriiceps (black rockcod), 854 nucleotides long. RefSeq lists it as uncharacterized. Lineage: Eukaryota; Metazoa; Chordata; Actinopteri; Perciformes; Nototheniidae. The transcript has 2 exons. The record is from RefSeq and is a predicted model, not a curated record.